Molecule: telomerase RNA, 129 nt
Filed under: Aspergillus cristatus
Lineage: Eukaryota; Fungi; Ascomycota; Eurotiomycetes; Eurotiales; Aspergillaceae
Description: Ascomycota telomerase RNA
Rfam family: Ascomycota telomerase RNA
Source: Rfam by way of RNAcentral
CGACGGAACCUUGUGUUUCUUCACCUCCCUCCCGGGAGAAGGAAGCGGUUUUUGUGGAUGUUCUUUGUCCGCUUCUCAAAACGCCCUCCAAGACACUUCGGUGUCGAGGAGAGGAAACAAAAACUUGUC